Molecule: long non-coding RNA, 245 nt
Filed under: Nicotiana benthamiana
Lineage: Eukaryota; Viridiplantae; Streptophyta; Magnoliopsida; Solanales; Solanaceae
Description: long non-coding RNA (NBEN_LNC001996)
Source: RNAcentral
UCAAUGCAAGGAUUGCAAAUUUGUUUAUUGGUGAAUCACAUGAACCCUAGCUUUCGACCUUGCUCUGCCCUAGUGAAAAACGCAGGUCUACCUCCCUCUCUUCACCUCUCAAAAUCAGUAUUUGUCAAAGCAAAAAUUGCAAAUUUGUUUGUUGGUGAAGCUGGUGCACCCUAGCUUUCGACCUUGCUCAUUGUUUAAUCCAAAGUACUCUACACUAGUAGAAAUGCGGUAUUGCCUCCCACUCU